RNAcentral lists this ribosomal RNA (253 nucleotides) under uncultured bacterium. Its description in RNAcentral is "partial 16S ribosomal RNA". It matches the Rfam family "Bacterial small subunit ribosomal RNA", at positions 524 to 776 of the family's 1533-position model. The record is from RNAcentral.
UACGGAGGGUGCAAGCGUUAUCCGGAUUUAUUGGGUUUAAAGGGAGCGUAGGCGGGAUAGUAAGUCAGUGGUGAAAUCUUCCGGCUCAACCGGGAAACUGCCAUUGGUACUGCUAACCUAGAGUAUAUUUGAAGUGGGCGGAAUGUGUCAUGUAGCGGUGAAAUGCUUAGAUAUGACACAGAACACCAAUUGCGUAGGCAGCUCGCUAAACUAUAACUGACGCUGAGGCUCGAAAGCGUGGGGAUCAAACAGG